UCCGGCAGCGCGGCUUCGAAGUCCGUCCCCGUCCCUCAGUCUCCACAGCCUGACUGCCGGCCUCGGGCCGAAGUGGGGACUACGCGGGGCCGAAGGAAUCCUCCCGGGUAGAUAAGCCUGGCCUCGGACCCUCCCUGGGACGCGGUGGGCCGGACGCCUGGAGGAGGAGAGGAGGAAAGGGCCGAGCGCUCCUCACAGUCCCUUCGAGAGCCGCGGCCCAAGGGCCCUUCUGCUCAGGAAUGAAGCUGAGGACGGGCAGCAUCUCGGGGAUGCUUCAGCCUCUGCAGAUGACUUGGCUUAGAGGACCUGUGGGAUGUGCAGAGAAGGAGAACUGGGGGAGAGACCUUGAAGUGUUUGGCGAGUGGGUGGAUGAAGCGCCUUCAGUAAAGAUUGUGGGCAUAAUCUCUGGAGAAGGAUCUGGUGUUAGUUAAGUGGGCUGACUUCUCAGUUGCUGGUGUCCUUCUGGUAGAAUGUGACUUCCAUGCUCCAAGAGCCUGGCCUGAGUUGUUCAUCACUCUACCCUGAAUGCUGAACACAGGGACCCAGCUACCUGUGAGAUGAAUGAAGGAAACUUAUGGAUCCAUCCUGUUCGUCAUAGUCUCUCGCAUCAGUAAAGGGUGGUUCUCAGCAAUAUGUAAGCCUAAAUUUAGCUCUUGGCUUAUGUUUUUCUGUCUUAGUCAUUGUGGGCAAAUUACUCAACCUCUCAGACUUUGUUUCCUUAUGUUUAAAAUGGGAUGCUAGGGACUUCCUUGGUAGUCCAGUGGCUAAGACUUCACCAUCCCAGUGCAGGGGGUCUGGGUUAGAUCAACUAAAACAGAUCCUACAUAUCGCAAUGAAAACUGGAGAUCCCAAAUGCCACAACUAAGACCCGGCAUAGCAAAAUAAAUAUCAAUA
Capra hircus (goat) is the source of this 894-nucleotide long non-coding RNA. RefSeq lists it as uncharacterized. Lineage: Eukaryota; Metazoa; Chordata; Mammalia; Artiodactyla; Bovidae. The transcript is spliced from 4 exons. The record is from RefSeq and is a predicted model, not a curated record.